GGUUCCAUGGUGCAUCGGUCAGCACACCGCCCUGUCACGGCGGAGGGACGGGUUCGAUUCCCGUUGGGACCGCCA
Molecule: transfer RNA, 75 nt
Filed under: Coriobacteriaceae bacterium
Lineage: Bacteria; Bacillati; Actinomycetota; Coriobacteriia; Coriobacteriales; Coriobacteriaceae
Description: tRNA-Asp
Rfam family: tRNA
About the family: Transfer RNA (tRNA) molecules are approximately 80 nucleotides in length. Their secondary structure includes four short double-helical elements and three loops (D, anti-codon, and T loops).
Source: RNAcentral